UAGAAAUCUGCCCGGUAGUGGGGGAUAACCUGGGGAAACCCAGGCUAAUACCGCAUACGUCCUACGGGAGAAAGCAGGGGAUCUUCGGACCUUGCGCUAUCGGAUGAGUCUAUGUCGGAUUAGCUUGUUGGUGAGGUAAUGGCUCACCAAGGCGACGAUCCGUAGCUGGUCUGAGAGGAUGAUCAGCCACAUCGGGACUGAGACACGGCCCGAACUCCUACGGGAGGCAGCAGUGGGGAAUAUUGGACAAUGGGCGAAAGCCUGAUCCAGCCAUGCCGCGUGUGUGAAGAAGGCCUUCGGGUUGUAAAGCACUUUCAGUGGGGAAGAAAGCCUUGGGGCUAAUACCCUCGAGGAAGGACAUCACCCACAGAAGAAGCACCGGCUAACUCCGUGCCAGCAGCCGCGGUAAUACGGAGGGUGCGAGCGUUAAUCGGAAUUACUGGGCGUAAAGCGCGCGUAGGCGGUCUGAUAAGCCGGUUGUGAAAGCCCCGGGCUCAACCUGGGAACGGCAUCCGGAACUGUCAGGCUAGAGUGCAGGAGAGGAAGGUAGAAUUCCCGGUGUAGCGGUGAAAUGCGUAGAGAUCGGGAGGAAUACCAGUGGCGAAGGCGGCCUUCUGGACUGACACUGACGCUGAGGUGCGAAAGCGUGGGUAGCAAACAGGAUUAGAUACCCUGGUAGUCCACGCCGUAAACGAUGUCGACUAGCCGUUGGGCUCCUUGAGAGCUUAGUGGCGCAGUUAACGCGAUAAGUCGACCGCCUGGGGAGUACGGCCGCAAGGUUAAAACUCAAAUGAAUUGACGGGGGCCCGCACAAGCGGUGGAGCAUGUGGUUUAAUUCGAUGCAACGCGAAGAACCUUACCUACCCUUGACAUCGUGCGAACUUUCCAGAGAUGGAUUGGUGCCUUCGGGAACGCACAGACAGGUGCUGCAUGGCUGUCGUCAGCUCGUGUUGUGAAAUGUUGGGUUAAGUCCCGUAACGAGCGCAACCCUUGUCCUUAUUUGCCAGCGAGUAAUGUCGGGAACUCUAAGGAGACUGCCGGUGACAAACCGGAGGAAGGUGGGGACGACGUCAAGUCAUCAUGGCCCUUACGGGUAGGGCUACACACGUGCUACAAUGGCCGGUACAAAGGGUUGCGAAGCCGCGAGGUGGAGCUAAUCCCGAAAAGCUGGUCUCAGUCCGGAUCGGAGUCUGCAACUCGACUCCGUGAAGUCGGAAUCGCUAGUAAUCGUGAAUCAGAAUGUCACGGUGAAUACGUUCCCGGGCCUUGUACACACCGCCCGUCACACCA
This 1290-nucleotide ribosomal RNA is filed under the name Halomonas alkalicola. RNAcentral describes it as "bacterial SSU rRNA". It matches the Rfam family "Bacterial small subunit ribosomal RNA", at positions 118 to 1404 of the family's 1533-position model. The record is from RNAcentral. Lineage: Bacteria; Pseudomonadati; Pseudomonadota; Gammaproteobacteria; Oceanospirillales; Halomonadaceae.